Molecule: long non-coding RNA, 2603 nt
Filed under: Fukomys damarensis (Damara mole-rat)
Lineage: Eukaryota; Metazoa; Chordata; Mammalia; Rodentia; Bathyergidae
Description: lncRNA (ENSFDAG00000028407.1)
Source: RNAcentral
GAGAGGCCAGGUUGCCGGGGACUGGUGGGGGCGCGGGGACCCAGAAGCCGCAAGCCAGGCACAGGGCAGGUGCCGCUCAGCCCACUGUCUGCAGGAUGUGCCGUUUCGAGUGGCAGCGUGACUGCCCUGCUGUGUGUUCCUGCCUGCUUUCAUUUGCUCAUUUUCAGCCACAGAGAAUUUCCUGUCCUCCACAUUCUCCACAAUCGCUACAGGAGAAAGACUCUUCCAGGACACAGUGAGCCGGGCUGUCUCAGACCAUCUCAGAGGGGCCAUCUGCCCAGGGUGACUCCAGCAGUAACAUCGCCAUCUACUGGGCCGCAGAAGGGGACAGCGCCAGGAGCGAGCUCCAAAGUGCCCUCAGAAGGGACCCAGGGCUUUGGGGACCAAGUGACCAGAAGAAAACACUCCACCACAUGCGCGGGAGCAGAUGCAGCCUCUUUCUUGCAUUUCUGGUUUAUGGUAACUGUAGGAAUUGGUUCUAACCUAUUACAGGACCCCCUGCAAAGCCCCUCCCCAAAAGAGAGGUUUUUCAUGGAGAAAACUAGUGUUCAUUUUAGGGGUUUUGUACUAGCCGUACCUUACCUUUCUGAUGGAAGUUGGUUUCCCCCCUCACCAGGCAGCUCCCACCGCCGUCCCUGUGCACUUGCUGGGGCUGGGACGUGGGGGAUACAGGUAUACGCGUGCACACUCACACACGCAUGCACACACCCCACUUCUUGGCACAGAGCUCUGCAAUCCCUCCUGGACCCUGACAAGGCUUCCAGAACACAGCACCAAACUAGGAUAACCCAAAUAUUAUUCUAAAUUCUUUUUUCAGGCACUUAAGCAAAAUAACUUUCAUUUUUUCAAGUUUAUGUAACUUUUCUUUAUGAACACGAAGCGUCAAGUUCGGACUUUACAUACGCUUGAUGUCGAUUUCUGAAUUUUCUUACACAAAUGACCACACUCCUUCCCUGAUCUCGCGCCUAACAUCCUGCGCUGGUUCUCGGAUGAAGCGUCGAUUAUUUUCUCUUUGUAAAUAAAGGCCGGGCAUCUUGGUCUGAAGAAGGCGCGAUGGUGUGUGGAGCCUCCCGUAUCAAUGGGCAAGUUUCCCACAGGGAAAGUGAUGACCGCCCAGAUCGACCACGGGCAUGUCCUCUGCACUCUCCUCACAGUUUCCACCAGGUGCUCAGAAGGUCUUUAAAACAGACAACUUACAAUUACAAACAAAAAUGACAGUUAAAUGUAGUAUCACAAUUCACCUAUUUUUAAAGACUUUUUUUCAACUGAAUCUUAUUUCUCUUCAUUACAUCUCACAAAGAAAAAAAAAAAUCAAAUCAAGUGUCCCAGAGCCUGCAGCCAGACCUGUUACUGCAUUACUGUCACAAAGUACUUCAUUUUGUGUGUGUGUGUGUGUGUGUGUGUGUGUGUGUGUGUACCAAACUAUUUACAUUUUGUAACUUAAUUUCUCACUCGAUAGAGUUUGAAAGAUCUGGACAUUAUAAAGGAAAACUCAUUUUCUGCUGGAAUGAAAUGAGAAAAUGAAAAAUUUAAAAAUUCAUUUUAUUAGGUAAAUUCAGUAGGGACACGUCGUUAGCCCCUGAAAUAAGCCAGGCUGCUCUGUUUACUUUCUCCAUCUUUCGGGGCCUUAAAUGAAAAGUGCAGCCCCCUCCCACCUGAUGUUUGCGUAGGAACCCUAGAGCCUCCUUUCCCAGUCGGUGCCGGGGCUGAGGCCGAGCCCCGAAAGUCGGCCUGGACGGAGGGACACGGAGGGUCGGGUCCUGGGGGAGACGGGGCACUCACGGUUCCGGGUCCGCGUCCCUGGUCCUGACUCCAAAGGGAAUGUGGAGCUUUUGUGUAGAACCAGAACAAAUAUCCAGGAAGUUGGCAAAGUCACUAACUAAACAGUCAAUAGUGGAAGUACAGCAAAAGAGAACAAAUUCAGGCUUUCUCUGUAAAGGGGGAGAGAGCGAGCGGAGACUCGCUGAACCAGCGCGUCCGACGCCUCCCAACCCGCGCGCGGCCCAGGUGGACCCGGAGCUCGCCGAUUGCACCGCGCCUGGGGGCCGAGGACCCCGGAUUCACUGUGUAUCGCCGGAGCUCCUGACGCCGGAUCAGAAAUAGGUUCCCUGUGAAAAUACACUGAGAACCCAGUGACCCCCACCCCUACCGAGGCCUUCGGUGACAGGAAAUGUUAACCAUUUUCAGCACUUUUUAUUUGCAAGCGCUCUGCCCUGAGAGAAGCGCGCAUUUAAUGAUCAAUCCUGAAAUUAGGAUCCAUGAGAGAUUGGAUGAGGGGUCUCUGAGGGUGGGGGUGGCGCGCUGGGCCCCAAGGGAGCCCUGGGGACAGGGGUGGCUGUGCUCUACAGAAACAAAGCAGUGCAUCUGUUGCAGCAGAGCUCCAUUGCAAACUCUCUCUGUUGCUGGUAAACUCAGAGCCGUCCCUUCCACUCCUCAGCUGGGUCAUCUUAAGGAAAAUGCCUGCCUUGCAGGGUUUAUGAUUCAGAGGAAAAAAAGAAAAGAAAAAAGAGAUUUUCCCCAAAAUUAACUAAACACCGAAGCUCAGAAACACACGGAAUGUGUACAGCGUUGUCCUUCAAAACUCCGCUGCAAAUGUGUUUCAG